Delphinapterus leucas (beluga whale) is the source of this 74-nucleotide small nucleolar RNA. Ensembl annotates it as small nucleolar RNA SNORD101. Its record names the gene SNORD101. The record is from Ensembl. NCBI's taxonomy places the organism in Eukaryota, Metazoa, Chordata, Mammalia, Artiodactyla, Monodontidae.
GUUUGAAUGAUGACUUAAAAUUGUCGGAUACCCCUUCACUCCUUUUAUGAGUGAAAACUAAUAGUCUGACAAAC